RNAcentral lists this transfer RNA (72 nucleotides) under Blumeria graminis f. sp. tritici 96224. RNAcentral describes it as "tRNA-Pro (AGG) (tRNA-Pro-AGG-5-1)". The record is from RNAcentral. Lineage: Eukaryota; Fungi; Ascomycota; Leotiomycetes; Helotiales; Erysiphaceae.
GGUCUUAUGGUCUAGAGGUAUGAUUCUCGCUUAGGGUGCGAGAGGCCCCGCAUUCGAAUCGCGGUAAGACCC